UCGCAUGAACAACGCUAAAAGAUGGCUUCUCGCUAUCACUUCUGGAUGGACCUGCGGUGCAUAGCUUGUUGGUGGGGUAAYGGCCUACCAAGGCGAUGAUGCAUAGCCRAGUUGAGAGACUGAUCGGCCACAAUGGGACUGAGACACGGCCCAUACUCCUACGGGAGGCAGCAGUAGGGAAUCUUCCACAAUGGGCGCAAGCCUGAUGGAGCAACACCGCGUGAGUGAAGAAGGGUUUCGGCUCGUAAAGCUCUGUUGUUAAAGAAGAACACGUAUGAGAGUAACUGUUCAUACGUUGACGGUAUUUAACCAGAAAGUCACGGCUAACUACGUGCCAGCAGCCGCGGUAAUACGUAGGUGGCAAGCGUUAUCCGGAUUUAUUGGGCGUAAAGAGAGUGCAGGCGGUUUUCUAAGUCUGAUGUGAAAGCCUUCGGCUUAACCGGAGAAGUGCAUCGGAAACUGGAUAACUUGAGUGCAGAAGAGGGUAGUGGAACUCCAUGUGUAGCGGUGGAAUGCGUAGAUAUAUGGAAGAACACCAGUGGCGAAGGCGGCUACCUGGUCUGCAACUGACGCUGAGACUCGAAAGCAUGGGUAGCGAACAGGAUUAGAUACCCUGGUAGUCCAUGCCGUAAACGAUGAGUGCUAGGUGUUGGAGGGUUUCCGCCCUUCAGUGCCGGAGCUAACGCAUUAAGCACUCCGCCUGGGGAGUACGACCGCAAGGUUGAAACUCAAAGGAAUUGACGGGGGCCCGCACAAGCGGUGGAGCAUGUGGUUUAAUUCGAAGCUACGCGAAGAACCUUACCAGGUCUUGACAUCUUGCGCCAACCCUAGAGAUAGGGCGUUUCCUUCGGGAACGCAAUGACAGGUGGUGCAUGGUCGUCGUCAGCUCGUGUCGUGAGAUGUUGGGUUAAGUCCCGCAACGAGCGCAACCCUUGUUACUAGUUGCCAGCAUUAAGUUGG
This 960-nucleotide ribosomal RNA is filed under the name Limosilactobacillus fermentum. RNAcentral describes it as "bacterial SSU rRNA". It matches the Rfam family "Bacterial small subunit ribosomal RNA", at positions 186 to 1134 of the family's 1533-position model. Lineage: Bacteria; Bacillati; Bacillota; Bacilli; Lactobacillales; Lactobacillaceae. The record is from RNAcentral.